This 1307-nucleotide long non-coding RNA is filed under the name Gossypium barbadense (sea-island cotton). RNAcentral's name for it is "long non-coding RNA (GBAR_LNC019201)". Lineage: Eukaryota; Viridiplantae; Streptophyta; Magnoliopsida; Malvales; Malvaceae. The record is from RNAcentral.
ACCAAAUUCCUGUAAUCAAGGGAUGACAUCAACAAUAAGAGAUUCAAGCAACCACCUCCUCCCAAAAAUAGCAAACUUCUCCACUUCCUCCUCCACAAUUCAAGGGUCCGCCACUCAAGGGAGAAAAUGAAGGGAUUCCCUUGCUAAAAAUAGAAAGAGAUGUUGGGGCUUGAACAAGUAUAAAUAGGGGUAUUCAUUUAUUCAUUUGGGGGACACCAGAUUAGGCAAACACACCAGAAUUAAGAGAAAAUUCGAGAGAGAGUUCUUCAAUUCAAGAAAUCGCAAUAUUUUUUAGAACAAUUGGAAAAGCAGAAACUUGAGUGCAUAAAGGAGAGAUUGACGCCCAAAAGAGGAGGAGAGUGAUCGUGAGAAGCAAGCAAGAAGCGAUUGUAGAAAAUUCCCUGCAUUUGAUUGUUAUCUCUUCUUAUUCUGCAUUAUCCAAGGAUAACCCCCCUCGACAUUUCUUCUUCCCUUUCUUUUAUCUUUAUUUUGCUUUUAUUGUUGACAAACAUGAUUGCAACUAUCUUUCUGUUUUCAUUCAAUGAUUAGGACUUAAUUUCGUUUCUACUAGAAUGAUUAUGAAUCUUUAAGUAUGUAUUCUUAACUUUAUGUUAGGGAUGUUUUGUUCAAGCGAUUAUUCAUUCAUUCAAGUUGAAUUAUUGUUAAUGCUUAAAAAUGCAUGGCCAACAUUAGUAAGGAAAUGAAUUAAUUAUUUAAUUUGAGAAGAGGUAAUAGUUAAUAGACAUAGACUUAAAUGGUACAUAUCAUGUUGAUAUCGAAAGAUGGAUGUUGUAUGCAAAAACUAUAUGUAUUGCCUGAGAGGGUGAUUUUAUUGUUAGUUUGGCAUAAACAUAUGUGAGUUAACUAACAGACAUAAAUAGGACUUGGAAAUUGCCACAAUUUAUCGUAACAUUCUCUAACAUAAGUGUCAAUGAUCACUACUUAAAGAGAAUUAAUUGUUCUAGCAUAUUCAUGUCAUAUUUGUUAAAUCUUGUGUUAUAGUUUUCUUCUACCAUUAUCUUUUAUACUGUGUUAUUUUAUUUUGUUUGCAUCCUUGGUGUGCUUAGUAUUUAAUUUCUUACCCCAAUUCAAUAUUUUUAUUUGCCACUUUUCAAAUUCUUAAUUAUAAUUUUUGAAAAUAAUUUAAAUAUGAUUGUACUAGACGAACUUACCAGAAAAUAUCAGAAAUUAACAAGACGUCAAGGACACUAAUCCACUAAUUUGCCUUUUCCACGAUUAUCUAAGAGUUGGUCCAAAUCCCGAUCUAUACAUUUAUUUAAUUCAAAGUAUCAAAUCCAAACAUUUUA